GGGUUCCCUGGCAUCUGCGGAGAGGGUUCAGCACGAAACAAAAAAUAAAUUUUCCACUGAAUUCAGGACCAAAAAGCAUGGGAGGAAAAGUAAUUCAGAAUUCUAGAAGUCAGACUUGUAGCAUAUCCUAGGGUUUAACACAGUGGAAAAUGACCUGACAUCUUGGAUGAGAAAGCACUGCUAGAACAUUUGAAAGGAAGAUA
This 203-nucleotide long non-coding RNA is filed under the name Homo sapiens (human). RNAcentral's name for it is "HSALNT0021924". The record is from RNAcentral. Lineage: Eukaryota; Metazoa; Chordata; Mammalia; Primates; Hominidae.